Helianthus annuus (common sunflower) is the source of this 1339-nucleotide long non-coding RNA. RefSeq lists it as uncharacterized. The record is from RefSeq and is a predicted model, not a curated record. Lineage: Eukaryota; Viridiplantae; Streptophyta; Magnoliopsida; Asterales; Asteraceae. The transcript is spliced from 2 exons.
CCGAGAUAUUUCCCCCAAACCCAAAACGUGUUUCUCUCUCUACGGCGCCAACUCCCUUUUUUUUCUCUCUCUAAAACUCUCUCAUAUUCCUCCAGUUCCAAAUAAUUUACACAAUCACAAAUUCACUCCGUUUAACGAAGCUUCCAAUUCGUGAUUUUGCUUUACUGACUCCGUUCUAUUCAGCUGUAGUUUUGGAUAGUUAGGUAUGUGUUGGAGAAUGAGUUGACUUGAUGGACAGUUGACUCAAAAGCUAGAAAUAUUUUUUUUUGAACGGCCAACGAAUCCUCCAAAUGGGUUACUGGCGAAAUUCACCACAUCGGGAUACACCCGCCUUCCGAACCGGGGAAAACCCCCACCUAGGGCCGAAGCCCGUGAACACUCGCCUGAAGGCACGACAGUGCGGUGAGGUAAAACCCGCUCAGUUCAAGGAUCGAACUAGCGAUCGCCGCCUACUCGCCUAGUCUCCCAUCAUCACCAGGUGCCGCAGAAACUAAAUGCUAGGGGCAGGAAUUGAACUUGAGUCACUUGGAACACAAGGUCUCUCCCUUACCACUCCACCACUAGCCCAUUGGCAAAAGCUAGAAAUAUUGAUUGCGUAUAUGUGUGUGCAUAUAGGCAUAUGUAUGUAUGUGUUUCUGUUUGUGUAUGUCUAUUAUAUGAAGAGAUAAACUUGAAAUAUGAUUGGAAAUUUUGAUGCACCAACAUCAGUAUUCACCGUAUGUAUGUGCAUAGAAUGGUCUGUUUUAACAUAUGCAUGUUCUUUCUUAAAAAGAUAAAACUUGAAAUACAGUAGAAAACUUGAUGCACCGAUAACAUACAAUACAUAACCAUGGUUUUAGAUCAAGUACAGGGUGACACAUGAUGCGAAUAUUUCCUCUGUGUGCCUUAAACAACCAAAGACAUUUUGCUGUUCUUUUUUUAUAUAUAAAAACUUAUGUUGAAGACAAGAAAUUUGAAACUACCUUGCAUUGGUGAAACCACUAAGUGCCACUACUAACACAAUGACAAUAAUUGAUUUAAUUGAUUCAAUAAUUGAAGUUGUACAGUGUUCAGUUAGAGUGUUUUCGAGUUCAAGGACUGAAGGUAAAAUCAAAUAUCUGACCUGGGUUUCGACUUUCAUGGAUUCAGGUUAUGUGUUAGAUUUGGAUAUCUGACCUGGCCACACGCAUACUUCAAGGAACUCUUUAAUCGGUUACGACUUUCAUGGAUUUAGGAUUUGUGUGUGUUUUGAAUUGAUUCGACGGUCAUUUGGGUGUAUGUUCUAUAUGAAUUUCCGCUUAUGCUGUGGGUUUUGGACGUAAGAGCUUGAUCAAGAUCUAUAAUUCAGCUUUUUAAUUUC